GGGUUCGCAUUCCUAANUUNGUAGAGGGAUGAUUUGGGGGNAGCCCGCCCUGUCUAAAGUUUCCCUGGAANCAGGACGUCAUAGAGGGUGAGAAUUCCCCGUAUGUGACAGGAAAUGGCANCCCUAUGUAAAUCUCCUUCGACGAGUCGAGUUGUUUGGGAAUGCAGCUCUAAAUGGGAGGUAAAUUUCUUCUAAAGCUAAAUAUUGGCGAGAGACCGAUAGCGCACAAGUAGAGUGAUCGAAAGAUGAAAAGCACUUUGGAAAGAGAGUUAAAAAGCACGUGAAAUUGUUGAAAGGGAAGCGCUUGCAAUCAGACUUGUUUAAACUGUUCGGCCGGUCUUCUGACCGGUUUACUCAGUUUGGACAGGCCAGCAUCAGUUUCGGCGGCCGGAUAAAGGCUCUGGGAAUGUGGCCUCCACUUCGGUGGAGGUGUUAUAGCCCAGGGUGUAAUACGGCCAGCCGGGACUGAGGUCCGCGCNUCGGCUA
RNAcentral lists this ribosomal RNA (486 nucleotides) under Aureobasidium pullulans. RNAcentral's name for it is "eukaryotic LSU rRNA". It matches the Rfam family "Eukaryotic large subunit ribosomal RNA", at positions 132 to 613 of the family's 3401-position model. The record is from RNAcentral. Lineage: Eukaryota; Fungi; Ascomycota; Dothideomycetes; Dothideales; Saccotheciaceae.